CGGGGAGUAGCGCAGUCUGGUAGCGCAUCUGCUUUGGGAGCAGAGGGUCGCUGGUUCGAAUCCAGUCUCCCCGACCA
This 77-nucleotide transfer RNA is filed under the name Meiothermus ruber. RNAcentral describes it as "tRNA-Pro". It matches the Rfam family "tRNA". From Rfam's summary of the family: Transfer RNA (tRNA) molecules are approximately 80 nucleotides in length. Their secondary structure includes four short double-helical elements and three loops (D, anti-codon, and T loops). RNAcentral also lists the same sequence under 16 other names. Lineage: Bacteria; Thermotogati; Deinococcota; Deinococci; Thermales; Thermaceae. The record is from RNAcentral.